Molecule: ribosomal RNA, 497 nt
Filed under: uncultured bacterium
Lineage: Bacteria
Description: partial 16S ribosomal RNA
Rfam family: Bacterial small subunit ribosomal RNA
Source: RNAcentral
GAUGAACGCUGGCGGCGUGCCUAAUACAUGCAAGUCGAGCGAACAGACGAGGAGCUUGCUCCUCUGACGUUAGCGGCGGACGGGUGAGUAACACGUGGAUAACCUACCUAUAAGACUGGGAUAACUUCGGGAAACCGGAGCUAAUACCGGAUAAUAUAUUGAACCGCAUGGUUCAAUAGUGAAAGACGGUUUUGCUGUCACUUAUAGAUGGAUCCGCUCCGCAUUAGCUAGUUGGUAAGGUAACGGCUUACCAAGGCAACGAUACGUAGCCGACCUGAGAGGGUGAUCGGCCACACUGGAACGGAAACACGGUCCAGACUCCUACGGGAGGCAACAGUAGGGAAUCUUCGGCAAUGGGCGAAAGCAUGACGGAACAAGACCGGGUGAGUGAGGAAGGUCUUCGGUUCGUAAAGCUCUGUUAUUAGGGAAGAACAAAUGUGUAAGUAACUAUGCACGUCUUGACGGUACCUAAUCAGAAAGCCACGGCUAACUACGUG